RNAcentral lists this ribosomal RNA (484 nucleotides) under uncultured bacterium. Its description in RNAcentral is "partial 16S ribosomal RNA". It matches the Rfam family "Bacterial small subunit ribosomal RNA", at positions 30 to 507 of the family's 1533-position model. The record is from RNAcentral.
AUUGAACGCUGGCGGCAGGCCUAACACAUGCAAGUCGAGCGGAUGAAGGGUGCUUGCUCCUGGAUUCAGCGGCGGACGGGUGAGUAAUGCCUAGGAAUCUGCCUGGUCGUGGGGGAUAACGUCCGGAAACGGGCGCUAAUACCGCAUACGUCCUGAGGGAGAAAGUGGGGGAUCUUCGGACCUCACGCUAUCAGAUGAGCCUAGGUCGGAUUAGCUAGUUGGUGGGGUAAAGGCCUACCAAGGCGACGAUCCGUAACUGGUCUGAGAGGAUGAUCAGUCACACUGGAACUGAGACACGGUCCAGACUCCUACGGGAGGCAGCAGUGGGGAAUAUUGGACAAAGGGCGAAAGCCUGAUCCAGCCAUGCCGCGUGUGUGAAGAAGGUCUUCGGAUUGUAAAGCACUUUAAGUUGGGAGGAAGGGCAGUAAGUUAAUACCUUGCUGUUCUGACGUUACCAACAGAAUAAGCACCGGCUAACUUCGUG